AUUGAACGCUGGCGGCAUGCUUUACACAUGCAAGUCGAACGGCAGCACGGGGGCAACCCUGGUGGCGAGUGGCGAACGGGUGAGUAAUAUAUCGGAACAUGUCCGGAAGUGGGGGAUAACGUAGCGAAAGUUACGCUAAUACCGCAUAUGCCCUGAGGGGGAAAGGGGGGGAUCGCAAGACCUCUCGCUUUCGGAGUGGCCGAUAUCAGAUUAGCUAGUUGGUGGGGUAAAGGCCUACCAAGGCAACGAUCUGUAGCUGGUCUGAGAGGACGACCAGCCACACUGGGACUGAGACGCGGCCCAGACUCCUACGGGAGGCAGCAGUGGGGAAUUUUGGACAAUGGGGGCAACCCUGAUCCAGCCAUGCCGCGUGAGCGAAGAAGGCCUUCGGGUUGUAAAGCUCUUUCGGACAGAAAGAAAUCGUGCAGAAUAAUACUCUGUAUGGAUGACGGUACUGUAAGAAGAAGCACCGGCUAACUACGUGCCAGCAGCCGCCGUAA
RNAcentral lists this ribosomal RNA (500 nucleotides) under uncultured bacterium. Its description in RNAcentral is "partial 16S ribosomal RNA". It matches the Rfam family "Bacterial small subunit ribosomal RNA", at positions 30 to 523 of the family's 1533-position model. The record is from RNAcentral.